GAACUGAAGAGUUUGAUCAUGGCUCAGAUUGAACGCUGGCGGCAGGCCUAACACAUGCAAGUCGAGCGGAUGAGUGGAGCUUGCUCCAUGAUUCAGCGGCGGACGGGUGAGUAAUGCCUAGGAAUCUGCCUGGUAGUGGGGGACAACGUUUCGAAAGGAACGCUAAUACCGCAUACGUCCUACGGG
This 186-nucleotide ribosomal RNA is filed under the name Acinetobacter baumannii. RNAcentral's name for it is "partial 16S ribosomal RNA". It matches the Rfam family "Bacterial small subunit ribosomal RNA", at positions 1 to 186 of the family's 1533-position model. The record is from RNAcentral. Lineage: Bacteria; Pseudomonadati; Pseudomonadota; Gammaproteobacteria; Moraxellales; Moraxellaceae.